GCAUAAUAAAUAGUCUUUUAAUUGAGGACUAGAAUGAAGGGUUUAAUACUAAAAAGAAAGUUUUAUUUAAUUAUUUUGAAUUUAAAUUAAAAGUAAAAAUGCUUUUAUUAAUUUUUGGGACGAGAAGACCCUAGAAGCUUUUAAAUUUAAGAAUUAAAUUUUUAGUUGGGGUAACAUUUGAAGAUUUAAAUUUUUAAAUUUUUAAAUUUAAUAUUAUUAAUUAAGUUACUCUAGGGAUAACAGCAUUAUUUGAUUAACAAGUUCUUAUUAAUAAUUGAAGUUUGUGACCUCGAUGUUGAAUUAAUU
Molecule: ribosomal RNA, 306 nt
Filed under: Acanthogonyleptes pulcher
Lineage: Eukaryota; Metazoa; Arthropoda; Arachnida; Opiliones; Gonyleptidae
Description: partial 16S ribosomal RNA
Source: RNAcentral